This 445-nucleotide ribosomal RNA is filed under the name uncultured bacterium. RNAcentral describes it as "partial 16S ribosomal RNA". It matches the Rfam family "Bacterial small subunit ribosomal RNA", at positions 354 to 796 of the family's 1533-position model. The record is from RNAcentral.
GUAGGGAAUAUUGCGCAAUGGAGGCAACUCUGACGCAGCCAUGCCGCGUGCAGGAAGAAGGCGCUACGCGUUGUAAACUGCUUUUAACCGGGAAGAAACCCCAGGACGUGUCCUGGGUUGACGGUACCGGAGGAAUAAGCACCGGCUAACUUCGUGCCAGCAGCCGCGGUAAUACGAAGGGUGCAAGCGUUAUCCGGAUUCAUUGGGUUUAAAGGGUGCGUAGGCGGAGCGUUAAGUCAGUGGUGAAAGCCUGCAGCUUAACUGUAGACUUGCCAUUGAUACUGGCGCUCUUGAGUGCGCUUGAAGUGGGCGGAAUGUGCCGUGUAGCGGUGAAAUGCUUAGAUAUGGCACAGAACACCAAUUGCGAAGGCAGCUCACUAAGGCGAUACUGACGCUGAGGCACGAAAGCGUGGGGAUCGAACAGGAUUAGAUACCCCUGUAGUCC